UGGGGAAUAUUGGACAAUGGGGGCAACCCUGAUCCAGCAAUGCCGCGUGUGUGAAGAAGGUCUUCGGAUUGUAAAGCACUUUCGACGGGGACGAUGAUGACGGUACCCGUAGAAGAAGCCCCGGCUAACUUCGUGCCAGCAGCCGCGGUAAUACGAAGGGGGCUAGCGUUGCUCGGAAUGACUGGGCGUAAAGGGCGUGUAGGCGGCUUACACAGUCAGAUGUGAAAUCCCCGGGCUUAACCUGGGAGCUGCAUUUGAUACGUGUAGACUAGAGUGUGAGAGAGGGUUGUGGAAUUCCCAGUGUAGAGGUGAAAUUCGUAGAUAUUGGGAAGAACACCGGUGGCGAAG
This 348-nucleotide ribosomal RNA is filed under the name uncultured bacterium. Its description in RNAcentral is "partial 16S ribosomal RNA". It matches the Rfam family "Bacterial small subunit ribosomal RNA", at positions 355 to 720 of the family's 1533-position model. The record is from RNAcentral.